RNAcentral lists this ribosomal RNA (270 nucleotides) under uncultured archaeon. RNAcentral's name for it is "partial 16S ribosomal RNA". It matches the Rfam family "Archaeal small subunit ribosomal RNA", at positions 477 to 747 of the family's 1478-position model. The record is from RNAcentral.
CAGCACCUCAAGUGGUCAGGAUGAUUAUUGGGCCUAAAGCAUCCGUAGCCGGCGCUGUAAGUUUUCGGUUAAAUCUGUACGCUCAACGUACAGGCUGCCGGGAAUACUGCAGCGCUAGGGAGUGGGAGAGGUAGACGGUACUCGGUAGGAAGGGGUAAAAUCCUUUGAUCUAUUGAUGACCCCCUGUGGCGAAGGCGGUCUACCAGAACACGUCCGACGGUGAGGGAUGAAAGCUGGGGGAGCAAACCGGAUUAGAUACCCGAGUAGUCC